Molecule: non-coding RNA, 349 nt
Organism: Oreochromis niloticus (Nile tilapia)
Lineage: Eukaryota; Metazoa; Chordata; Actinopteri; Cichliformes; Cichlidae
Source: the annotation of a RefSeq genome assembly
UAUGUUGUCUGUAGCUCUGCUAGUGUUCUUAGCUGCUGGAUGUGUCAAGUGUGAACAGCUGACACAGCCAGACUCUUUGAGUGUGCUUUCAGGUCACCCUCUGACCAUCACCUGUAAGCUGUCUUAUUCCGUGCGCAGCUAUUGGACUCACUGGAAUAGACAGGCUCCAGGAAAAGGACUGGAGUGGAUUGGAAGAGCAGCUUCUGGAAGCACGCCUCACUACAGCCCUUUACUCAGAAACAAGUUCAGCAUUUCCACCGACUCUUCCAGGAACACAGUGAUUCUAACUGGACAGAAUGUGCAACCUGAAGACAGUGCUGUGUAUUACUGUGCCAGAGACUCACAGUGA